GUUGAACGCUGGCGGCAGGCCUAACACAUGCAAGUCGAGCGGAAACGGCAGUAUUGAAGCUUCGGUGGAUUUACUGGACGUCGAGCGGCGGACGGGUGAGUAACGGCUGGGAACCUGCCCUGACGAGGGGGAUAACCGUUGGAAACGACGGCUAAUACCGCAUAAUGUCUACGGACCAAAGGUGGCCUCUACAUGUAAGCUAUCGCGUUGGGAUGGGCCCAGUUAGGAUUAGCUAGUUGGUAAGGUGACGGCUUACCAAGGCGACGAUCCUUAGCUGGUUUGAGAGGAUGAUCAGCCACACUGGGACUGAGACACGGCCCAGACUCCUACGGGAGGCAGCAGUGGGGAAUAGUGCACAAUGGGGGAGACCCUGAUGCAGCCAUGCCGCGUGUGUGAAGAAGGCCUUCGGGUUGUAAAGCACUUUCAGCAGUGAGGAAGGUAGUGUACUUAAUACGUGCAUUGCUUGACGUUAGCUGCAGAAGAAGCACCGGCUAACUCCGUGCCAGCAGCCGCGGUAAUACGGAGGGUGCGAGCGUUAAUCGGAAUUACUGGGCGUAAAGCGCAUGCAGGCGGUUUGUUAAGUCAGAUGUGAAAGCCCGGGGCUCAACCUCGGAACCGCAUUUGAAACUGGCAGGCUAGAGUCUUGUAGAGGGGGGUAGAAUUUCAGGUGUAGCGGUGAAAUGCGUAGAGAUCUGAAGGAAUACCAGUGGCGAAGGCGGCCCCCUGGACAAAGACUGACGCUCAGAUGCGAAAGCGUGGGUAGCAAACAGG
Molecule: ribosomal RNA, 771 nt
Filed under: Salinivibrio costicola
Lineage: Bacteria; Pseudomonadati; Pseudomonadota; Gammaproteobacteria; Vibrionales; Vibrionaceae
Description: bacterial SSU rRNA
Rfam family: Bacterial small subunit ribosomal RNA
Source: RNAcentral